Molecule: long non-coding RNA, 551 nt
Filed under: Ananas comosus (pineapple)
Lineage: Eukaryota; Viridiplantae; Streptophyta; Magnoliopsida; Poales; Bromeliaceae
Description: long non-coding RNA (ACOM_LNC035409)
Source: RNAcentral
CACAAAUGAGAAAAAAGAGUGCAAGUUCACCUAUAUAUACUCCCAAAACACUAUUCAUAUCAGAUUGUAGCUCAGGUACAGAUAUUUUUCGUCUGCCCUUCUGAACGUCUGAUUGAGCUCAAACUUGGCAGUCACAAUUAGUUUAACCUUACUUAACGAAAGAAAUUUUAAUCUUUCAGUUUCGACCCCAUUUGGUCACCGAAAGCUGUACCGAACUGUAAUCUUUAUCAGAUAACUGUCGGAUUUUAUUUUCCACCUUCCGGGUGUCAGAAUGGCAUGAAACUUUAAAUGUAGCCUCAUAAAAAUAAUCCUAACGUAUUCCCAAAUUUUUAAAAUUUUCUGACACCGUGCAUUUUCUGCUAAAAUAUCAGCCCGGUCUCACACAGAAAAUUCUCAAUCUUCUAUUUUCACUCCGAUUUCCGCACAAGUCAGUCCUGACGUAUAAUUUACUUGUCUAAGUCCAAUAAAAAUAGUAUCUCAUACUAUUUUUAUUUAUAUUCACUUUUAAUAAAAAAAUCCGGUAUGCUACACUCCGGCCCGAAAUAUUUAAA